RNAcentral lists this ribosomal RNA (118 nucleotides) under Diaphorina citri (Asian citrus psyllid). The record is from RNAcentral. Lineage: Eukaryota; Metazoa; Arthropoda; Insecta; Hemiptera; Psyllidae.
GCAAGCCAGCAAUACACUUUGACUGCACCUGAUGCUAAUUGAUCACUGAAGUUAAGCCACGUUGGGUGUGGUUAGUAUCCGGAUGGGUGACCGUGUGGACAAUUACGGGCUGCUGGCU